GGAGAAGCCCAGGCGGCCUAGAAUCCAGUGUCGUCCGUGAGUGCUUGGCUGGUGUUCAAGUGCAUCUUCCAGCCUGAGACCGCGUGGACUCGCUCAUCGUGAGGGCGAGAGGAGGAUAAGCCCAUUGGGCUGUCGGCUGAGAGUGAGGUGCGGGCAGAUUGCUGAUGAAAUCCUUGGCAUCGUCGGAGAUCUCAUCGAAUGCCUCGUCGUCGAAGUCCCAGGUGGCUGAGGUAACGUUGGCCAAGGUUUCGUUAUCGUUGUCUCCCAUGAAGGGGGAAAGGCCACUGACUCUGGAGAGACAAGAGCAGGACAGCAGGUGUGGCUAGGAGAGGGCGCGACGACC
RNAcentral lists this long non-coding RNA (343 nucleotides) under Homo sapiens (human). Its description in RNAcentral is "HSALNT0059723". The record is from RNAcentral. Lineage: Eukaryota; Metazoa; Chordata; Mammalia; Primates; Hominidae.